CGCGGGGUAGAGCAGAUGGUAGCUCGCCAGGGUGGAUCGCCACUCCGAUCAUAACCUGGAGGCCGUUGGUUCGAGUCCAGCCCCCGCGACAA
This 92-nucleotide transfer RNA is filed under the name Larkinella knui. RNAcentral describes it as "tRNA-OTHER". It matches the Rfam family "tRNA". From Rfam's summary of the family: Transfer RNA (tRNA) molecules are approximately 80 nucleotides in length. Their secondary structure includes four short double-helical elements and three loops (D, anti-codon, and T loops). Further hydrogen bonds mediate the characteristic L-shaped molecular structure. tRNAs have two regions of fundamental functional importance: the anti-codon, which is responsible for specific mRNA codon recognition, and the 3' end, to which the tRNAs corresponding amino acid is attached (by aminoacyl-tRNA synthetases). tRNAs cope with the degeneracy of the genetic code in two manners: having more than one tRNA (with a specific anti-codon) for a particular amino acid; and 'wobble' base-pairing, i.e. permitting non-standard base-pairing at the 3rd anti-codon position. Lineage: Bacteria; Pseudomonadati; Bacteroidota; Cytophagia; Cytophagales; Spirosomataceae. The record is from RNAcentral.